Aethalodelphis obliquidens (Pacific white-sided dolphin) is the source of this 107-nucleotide small nuclear RNA. The record is from RefSeq and is a predicted model, not a curated record. Lineage: Eukaryota; Metazoa; Chordata; Mammalia; Artiodactyla; Delphinidae.
GUGCUCACUUCAGCAGCACACGUACUAAAACUGGAACGAUACAGAGAAGAUUAGCAUGGCCCUUGCGCGAGGAUGACAUGCAAAUUCGUGAAGCGUUCCAUAUUUUU